ACUAAUAUGGCAGAAUAUUGCAAUGAACUUAAGAUUCAUAAAUAAAGUUAUACUUUUUUUAGUA
RNAcentral lists this transfer RNA (64 nucleotides) under Truljalia hibinonis. RNAcentral describes it as "tRNA-Leu". It matches the Rfam family "tRNA". From Rfam's summary of the family: Transfer RNA (tRNA) molecules are approximately 80 nucleotides in length. Lineage: Eukaryota; Metazoa; Arthropoda; Insecta; Orthoptera; Gryllidae. The record is from RNAcentral.